GGUAAAAUUCAAAACAAUUAUCGACAAAUCGAUAUGACGACAUCACUAGUUGGUUUUAUAGACGCAAUGACGCCGGCAGUGGCGCGCCGCGGGCCGAGCUCGCUCCACGCUUGUCAGUCUGCUGGCGACCGCAAUACAGACCACACAUCUCUUGAAAGAAAUUCGAUCGAUAAACAGAUAACACGUCCAAUCCACACAACCUCUGCCCCAUAACUACACUUGCCGACUUGCUAAUGAUAAAUAACAGCCAAGUGUUACAAAUCGACAUCGAUAAAAUCGCGUGGCAUAGCCGUGUCAACAAUGUAGCCAUAGUGACAUGAUCGUGUUGACAGUCUGACAGUUAUUGUGGUCAAAAAUGCUGUUUUUACUAAAGAUGUAUGAUAAAAAGUGUUGUUGUUGUUAAAAAUUGUUUUUGUCGACAAUAAUUCGUUUCGUUAAAGUUUUGUAUAAGUAAGCUGUCAUUAUGGGGAAUGGAAUGAAUAAGGUUCUGCAAGGGCUGUAUGUGGGCAACUACAGAGACUCUAAGGAUCCGGUCCAACUCGACAAGUACAAGAUAACGCACAUACUGUCCAUACACGACGCGGCCCGACGGUUACACUCCGAUAAACACUACCUAUGUAUCAUGGCAUCAGACUCGCCCGAUCAGAACCUCACGCAGUACUUCAGCCUCUGCAACGACUUCAUACACGCCGCCAGGCUGCGCGACGGGAACGUGCUCAUACACUGUUUGGCGGGCAUGUCUCGUAGUGUGACUGUUGCGGUGGCUUACAUCAUGUCGGUGACGAAUCUCAACUGGCGAGAGGCCCUGAAGGUGGUGAGGGCGGGCCGAGCCGUCGCCAACCCUAACUUCGGCUUCCAGCGGCAGCUGCAAGACUUUGAGACUUAUAAACUGGUCGAGGAGAGAAGAAGGUUAAAGGAGCGUUACCCUUCCUUAGCCUUGACGGACAGAGACAUGUCGGAGUGUCGGGUGAUGCUGGACUCUUACCAGACCAUGCUCAGUGAGAGGACGAUAUGCGAGGGCAAGUGCGCGAUGGGUCGCCAGUGCCCCACUGGAGUCUGCAGAACAGGUUCCAAGCGCCAGCCGCGGCCGCGAAAGCCGUCAGUACCCAACGCUAACGUGGAGACCGUUGGAGGAGGACUGAAGAGGUCUCCUUCAACCCUCUCCACCACGUCUACAGCAUCAGGCUACAGGCCGCGGUCGUCUCCUGCUGGACUUUACAGCUACACUGGUGCUCCGUCCCGGCCAUCCCGCUCGGCGUCAGGGCUGAGCAUGACGCGGGUGACAGAUCCCGUAGGAGGCGGCUCUGCCAUGGCGGUCGGUGGAACAGAGUACUCUCGCCGUAGAGCUGCCUCCGCGCCUGCUACUCCCGCGCUGUCACCAGCUUCCUCCCCUCCCGGCUCGCCGCUUAGGGCUGCACAACACAGGGUUGCCUGUUCUUGGAUAAUACCCUCUGUGACCUGGGAUCCGGAUUCUAUGUAGUUGAAACCCUGAAGAGCCUAAUCACUGCAAAUAAAGUUUAGUCACGAACUCAAGAUUUUUAAUCACCACCAGCACCUGCACAUUCCAAGAUCCCGUGCUGUCCAGCGGUGUUCGUAGCAGGUCAGCUCUCGACGUCCAUCCACCGUCCGCCCCAUCACUCCCGCGCACAAACUCGACCGUUGAUUUCACAUGCGAAAUGAAACGGCUGUUUGAAUCAAACAAGACACAUUCUAAAUUGAAACGGAAUUUUGGAAUGCACCUUAAUACAAGGUAUGAUUGGCAAUCCUUUACGAUGGAUGUCGAAAGAAACCAAUGCGCUGUGAAUUCUUCUAUACAAAGCGAGUUGAUUAGGCGACGAUUGUUAUUGUAUUGCGAAAAAUAUACAAUUGGUGAUUUUUUUUAAUAUACCGAAUUUUUGAAAAUCAAAAACGUACUUUGUUCAGCUUGUAGCAAGCUGAGAUGGCAUUUGCAUUUCCAGUGUUUAAAAAAUGCUUAAAGUAUUUGUAAAAGCACAUUUCACUUCAAGGCCGUCAGUUUACAGUUGGCCUUAUUUCCCACUAAAAUGUCUGUGUAUUUUUUGCGUCGACAUACGACACAAAAUAAAUCAUUUUAUAUGAAUGUAGCCUUGCCUAAGGCGAUAUCGCGCGAAGUUAAGCUCCGCUAGCCAUUUGGGUAUAUUUGUCACUUUGAUGAUACUAUGAAGAGGCUUGUAAAUAAAAGCAAAGAUCAUCAACGAAAUGCUAGACUCAUCUCGCCAUAUAAAUACUAAGUAUAUUUACAGUGGUAUUUGGCUGCGAUUAUAUUAUUGUUGACUGGUAUCGAAAGAGGGAUACGUAAUGAGUCUACCUAUUUAUUUAGCUUGAGAUGAAUACAAAAGCCGAUAAACGAAACACUUGCGAGUAUGUUCAAACCGUCGUUAAACUGUUUUAAAAAGCAUCUACUUUAUUAUAUAUGCUUUCCGAUGUGGUUCUUUGUAUUUCAUAUCAAGCUGCAUUAAAUGAUAAUAAAAUAUUACAAUUAUUAUUUAAUUAUACCUAUACAAUUAUUAAUAUAUAAAGACAUACAAUUCUAAAUAUUGCCGAGAAAAUGUCUUAAUGUUGAAUGCAAUUAAGCAAAUCAAAUUGUGAAUGCUAAAGUACAACGUGCAAAUUGCAAUAUCUAAAUAAAGAGAUAUAUUUAAAUAUAUUUAUUUAUAGGUACGAAGACGAAAAGGUAGUGUAGUAGGUAAGGGUUGAAUAAAUUUGAAAUUCUGGCUGGUUCAGAUUAGUCUUUAAGAUUUCUACUUUCCAGUAACUUAGCUAUAUUUUCAGAAUCUCCUACCUACUUAGAAAGUUUUUCAUGUCAAGCUGUAGUUACUCUUCAUUAUAAUAUUACAUUAAUUCAAUAUGUAUGUAUAGAUGCGAUCUUUUUCUUGAUAAAACAGACUUUACAUAAAACAGAGAAUUAAACGUAUUUAAUUCUCUGUCAAAUUUUGAAUUUAAAUUAAAACAAUCCUUUUCGCUGUCCCCGAUUUGGACUUACGAUAUUCUUGAAAUUGAUUCGUGUAAUUAAUUUUGGUUAAUCAACAAUCACAUCAACUAAUUGUUGAAAACAACGUUUCGCAAACUGAUUCUAAUUGUGUAUAUUAUCUUAACUUUAUACUACUACAUGUGACGACACAAAAGUACCGAAGUGAUUACACAUUACCCUGAAAUUUCACAUAAGUGCGUAGAUGAAAAUGACCUCAAAAUUUCAGGAAAGUGAAUCAGUGUGAAAUAAGCUUACGAGAAAUGUAAUAAAAAUAUAUAUAUAUUGCGUCAGUUAAUUAGUAUUUAAUGACAAAGAUCAUUUUCGUGAAUUUAUCUCGAAUAACGUUAUCUACUCAUUCAUCAUCAUUUUAGGAGAUACAAGGCUAUAGGUAGAUCGGUCAUGUUUGACAGCGUUAGGGCUGGACCCUGAGAACACGGCUGUCCAUGUAUGCCUUAUAGACGAUUGUGAAUCUCCAUUUUAAAAUUAUCGCUUCAAAUUCUUAGCUUUGUAGUAUCUACCUUGUGGGCAUUUUUCCACUGACAGCUAAAUUUGUUUGUUGAGGGUCACCUCAUGAUUGAUUGUACGCACUUUCUAUAACAGUUAUGUCCUCCUUGAGAUAGGCAUCCAUCUACGUUGUUGCGUAAUAUAAAUACCGUGGGCCACGAAGCAUAGAAAACUUCAACUAGGUAUAUCCCUAAACUGUGCAUUUCUUUAUAUUUACGGAUAGAAAAGGAAACCUUAAAGCAUUGUCUUUAAGCACUCCAAAUUCUAAUGUGUUGUAUGUAAAUUGGUCACAACUAAGUAGGUACUACAAAUUACCACCUAUAAUGAAAGCUGAUUCAUUCAUGAGUAUUGUAAAUUAAUAUUAAAUUGGCUGAUAAGUGGAAAAAUAUCUAACGUUGCUCAAAUUGUUAACAAGUCCGUUCCUAGCGCAGCACAAUUUUGUAUUAGGUUGCACUUGUAAUUACGUCAUUCGUAUGCUCACUUCAUCCUAGCAUUUUAGCUAAUAAGUCUAGGGUUCAACUAUGUUGUGAAAUUUUGCAUAUCUUUCUCUUUCUCACUCUUAAGAGGCUUAGCCAGUUAGAAAUUGUGAUUUAGAUGCCUUUAGCGCGGUGGCAUUUGUAGUUGAUUAGUGGGUAACUGGGGCUGGUUGGGAUGAGGCAAUGAAAAUAAUAUUAUAAAUCGUGCACCAUGCCUAUAGCCCUGGAUAUGUCCAGCUUCAAUGGACAUCGGGAAAUAAUGCCAUUUACGCCAGUAAAAAAGUAUUUCCGCUCGCCGUAAACCCAUCUGUAUGCCUCGACGUUUAUACAGUAGAAAAGUGAAUAUGCCAGAACAGUUGCAAUAACAAUUACAUUAAAUCUUUUUAAAAUUGGUUGGUGUCAUCAAUGCAUUUGCGUCAUCCUAACAAGCCCAAAUUAAUUCUGAUAUAAUUAUAAGACGCUGCCACUGUAGCUUUGUUAUGGACAAUUGUAUAGUUUAUAAGAAGCUACGUAUCUAUAUAUACCUACUUGAUCUUUACCAUUUACAUCAUAAUCAGUUGUAUUAGAAAAUCCAUUGCUCUUCGAAGCAAUGAAAUUACGACUGCUUAUGACGUAGUUUGUGGAGAUAGGUACAUACAAUUUAAUUUCUAUUAAAUAACAUGUAGGUACAAUACUCCAGUUGGUCUUCAUUUAAAUUUAUGACGAAAUAUUUUUAAAACAAAUGAUUAUUUUUAUAAAAACAAACGAUUUUUAACAUUAUCACUGUUCCAUCAUACAAUGACAAUAUUUUAUGAAAUGUUUAAUAGAAGCACUAUUUUUGUCCACAUACAGGUGUUGGAUUUACGCACCAAAAUAUGAUAUGUUGAAAAAUAAGUACAAUUUGGAGGCGAAUGAAGUUAUCAUUUAAAUUUCCAUAUUAUAUGUUUAUAUAAAUCUAACGACUUAUUAAGAUAAAGUCCAGGGAUUUUUGCUCUAUGCAAAGUUUAUCACAUUUUGAGAGUUCACAGUUCAAUUAUUUCACCCUCUUCAAGAUUCUUACAUUUUAGAUAGAUUCCGUGAACACAUUAUUUUGGUUGUAAAAGUGAUGAAUCAUGUUAUAACGAUUAUUUGAAAAAUACAGAAGUUCUAAUAUAUUUUUUACCUAAGUAUUAUUAACUCCUUUUAAUUUAUUAACUCCUUUUGAUCGUUUCAUAUGUAAUGAUCUUCUAUUUGAAACUGAAAACGACGAAGCAAUAAUGCAAAUUGUGUGAUCUAAAGAUGGAGUUCAUAUGGUUUAUUAUUGUGUAUAUUUUAAUAAAAAAUACAAUUA
Molecule: RNA transcript, 5278 nt
Organism: Plodia interpunctella (Indianmeal moth)
Lineage: Eukaryota; Metazoa; Arthropoda; Insecta; Lepidoptera; Pyralidae
Gene name: dual specificity protein phosphatase 22-like
Exons: 9
Source: RefSeq, a predicted model, not a curated record